RNAcentral lists this microRNA precursor (159 nucleotides) under Pelobates cultripes (western spadefoot toad). Lineage: Eukaryota; Metazoa; Chordata; Amphibia; Anura; Pelobatidae. The record is from RNAcentral.
GCUGACACAUCCCUGCCAAUCUCCGGCAGACCCUCCCUCCAAGACCCUCCCACCUCCUGGACAGCAUCCAUGUUGAAGCUGCCUUCAACAUGGAUGCUGUCCAGGAAGUAGGAGGGUCUGGGAGGGAGAGUCUGCCGGAGAUUGGCAGGGAUGUGACAG